ACUCCAUGGUAUGGACAUUUUCGUUGCAAAUCCUUGAAUCUUUCCCAGGCAUCAUGAACCGAUUCGUUGUCACGUUGCUUGAAACUAGUGAUGUCAAUUCUCAGCUU
This 107-nucleotide small nucleolar RNA is filed under the name Corchorus olitorius. RNAcentral's name for it is "Plant small nucleolar RNA R71". It matches the Rfam family "Plant small nucleolar RNA R71". Rfam says of the family: R71 is a member of the C/D box family of snoRNAs containing the C (UGAUGA) and D (CUGA) box motifs. Lineage: Eukaryota; Viridiplantae; Streptophyta; Magnoliopsida; Malvales; Malvaceae. The record is from Rfam by way of RNAcentral.